GAUGAACGCUGGCGGCGUGCCUAAUACAUGCAAGUCGAGCGAACGGACGAGAAGCUUGCUUCUCUGAUGUUAGCGGCGGACGGGUGAGUAACACGUGGAUCACCUACCUAUAAGACUGGGAUAACUUCGGGAAACCGGAGCUAAUACCGGAUAAUAUUUUGAACCGCAUGGUUCAAAAGUGAAAGACGGUCUUGCUGUCACUUAUAGAUGGAUCCGCGCUGCAUUAGCUAGUUGGUAAGGUAACGGCUUACCAAGGCAACGAUGCGUAGCCGACCUGAGAGGGUGAUCGGCCACACUGGAACUGAGACACGGUCCAGACUCCUACGGGAGGCAGCAGUAGGGAAUCUUCCGCAAUGGGCGAAAGCCUGACGGAGCAACGCCGCGUGAGUGAUGAAGGUCUUCGGAUCGUAAAACUCUGUUAUUAGGGAAGAACAUAUGUGUAAGUAACUGUGCACAUCUUGACGGUACCUAAUCAGAAAGCCACGGCUAACUACGUG
Molecule: ribosomal RNA, 497 nt
Filed under: uncultured bacterium
Lineage: Bacteria
Description: partial 16S ribosomal RNA
Rfam family: Bacterial small subunit ribosomal RNA
Source: RNAcentral